Molecule: small RNA, 455 nt
Filed under: Arabidopsis thaliana (thale cress)
Lineage: Eukaryota; Viridiplantae; Streptophyta; Magnoliopsida; Brassicales; Brassicaceae
Description: ATSL000220
Source: RNAcentral
GCAUCUGUUCAUAGCAAGCUUGAUGCUACUUUUCUUUGUUGGCAAUGGGCCAUGGAGAGUAUGAAAAGUCUCAGAGUUGAUAAAAUCAUCUUUGCCUCUGAAGACAAUGAUCUAAUUGGAGCUGUUACGCGACUGCCGUCUUGGCCUUCGUAUAAAUUUCAGAUUCACUUUUUGUUGGGAGAAUUAAGUAAUUUUUUGGAUUGGAAUUGUGUGGUGAAGUAAGAAGCUCUAAUCUUGGAGCUCAUCUUAUUGCCAAGAGCGUGACAAUGGAGGAUCGCCGCCAAUCGUAUGUAGCAACCGGGUUUCCUUUUUGGCUGAAACAUCUUUUUGAGAAAGAAAGAAGUAUUGCUUAGUGUAAUACUCAUUGUGGUUGAUCUAGAAUGAUUGUCCUUGAUCCUAACUUUUUGUAUAUUUGGUUACAGUCUUGAAUAUAAAAUAUAUCUUUCAGUGAAAAA